This 423-nucleotide ribosomal RNA is filed under the name uncultured bacterium. RNAcentral's name for it is "bacterial SSU rRNA". It matches the Rfam family "Bacterial small subunit ribosomal RNA", at positions 361 to 776 of the family's 1533-position model. The record is from RNAcentral.
AUAUUGGACAAUGGGGGCAACCCUGAUCCAGCCAUGCCGCGUGUGUGAAGAAGGCCUUCGGGUUGUAAAGCACUUUAAGUGGGGAAAAAGGCUCGUUGGCUAAUAUCCAGCGGGAUUGAUACUACCCACAGAAUAAGCACCGGCUAACUCUGUGCCAGCAGCCGCGGUAAUACGUAGGGUGCAAGCGUUAAUCGGAAUUACUGGGCGUAAAGCGUGCGCAGGCGGUUCGGAAAGAAGGAUGUGAAAUCCCAGGGCUCAACCUUGGAACUGCAUUCUUAACUACCGAACUAGAGUAUGUCAGAGGGGGGUAGAAUUCCGCGUGUAGCAGUGAAAUGCGUAGAUAUGCGGAGGAAUACCGAUGGCGAAGGCAGCCCCCUGGGAUAAUACUGACGCUCAUGCACGAAAGCGUGGGUAGCAAACAGG